RNAcentral lists this signal recognition particle RNA (278 nucleotides) under Aotus nancymaae (Ma's night monkey). RNAcentral's name for it is "Metazoan signal recognition particle RNA (ENSANAG00000006512.1)". It matches the Rfam family "Metazoan signal recognition particle RNA". Rfam says of the family: The signal recognition particle (SRP) is a universally conserved ribonucleoprotein. It is involved in the co-translational targeting of proteins to membranes. Lineage: Eukaryota; Metazoa; Chordata; Mammalia; Primates; Aotidae. The record is from RNAcentral.
GCCUGUAGUCCCAGCUACUCGGGAGGCUGGUGGGAGGAUUGCUUGAGCGCAGGAGUUCUGGGCUGUAGUACGCUAUGCCGAUCGGGUGUCCACACUAAGUUCAGCAUCAAUAUGGUGACCUCCCGGGAGCAGGGAACCACCAGGUUGCCUAAGGAGGGGUGAACUGGCCCAGGUCAGAAAUGGAGCAGGUCAAAACACUGGUGCUGAUCAGUAGUAGGAUCGCGCCUGUGAAUAGCAACUGCACUCCAGCCUAGGCAACAUAGUGAGACCCUGUCUCU